Molecule: ribosomal RNA, 660 nt
Filed under: uncultured bacterium
Lineage: Bacteria
Description: bacterial SSU rRNA
Rfam family: Bacterial small subunit ribosomal RNA
Source: RNAcentral
UAGCGGCGAACGGGUGCUUAACACGUGGGCAAUCUGUCUUAAAGUGGGGGAUAGCUCGGCGAAAGCCGAAUUAAUACCGCAUGUGAUUAGAGUGGACAUCCAUUCAAAAUCAAAGCCGGGGCAACCUGGCGCUUUUUGAGGAGCCCGCGGCCUAUCAGCUUGUUGGUGAGGUAACGGCUCACCAAGGCUUUGACGGGUAGCUGGUCUGAGAGGACGACCAGCCACACUGGGACUGAGACACGGCCCAGACACCUACGGGUGGCAGCAGUCGAGAAUUUUUCUCAAUGGGGGAAACCCUGAAGGAGCGACGCCGCGUGGAGGAUGAAGGUCUUCGGAUUGUAAACUCCUGUCAUUGGGGAACAAGGUGCAUACGUUAACUGCGUGUGCAUUGAUAGUACCCGAAGAGGAAGAGACGGCUAACUCUGUGCCAGCAGCCGCGGUAAUACAGAGGUCUCAAGCGUUGUUCGGAUUCAUUGGGCGUAAAGGGUGCGUAGGCGGCGCGGUAAGUCGGGUGUGAAAUCUCGGAGCUUAACUCCGAAACUGCAUUCGAUACUGCCGUGCUUGAGGACUGGAGAGGAGACUGGAAUUUACGGUGUAGCGGUGAAAUGCGUAGAUAUCGUAAGGAAGACCAGUGGCGAAGGCGGGUCUCUGGACAGUUCC